AUCUGGAAUCCUUGGUACAUCCCUACCCAUUGAAGUUAACAUUUAAAAUGGUUAAGAUAAGGGUUACGUUUAGGGUUCUCAAAGUUGCUUUGCUGUCUCGCUAUUUAUCAUGCAACUCCUGUCUCCAGAUGAUAUGCAGUCUUGAGAGCAGGUGCAGUGAUGCAGCUCAGCUCAGCUUCCCGGCGCGCCACCACACAGCACAGAAUGCUGCAGAGUCGAGUAGCUGAUUGCAAAGGAUUAAGCAAAGAGGGAUUACCAAAGACAUGCAGCCAAGGGAUUAGAGUGUUCUCCAGGACUUUCUGAAGAUUGGGUGCAUUUAUCGUGACCGUUCAGCGGUCCCACUCCACAGUCAACAGAUCCUCUCAUGAAACCAGAAAGCAGAGCAGUCUCACUGCCUCAGAAGCCCAACCAGGAACGUACUGCCUCGCUACAUUAUUAAGCCUCAACAUUGGUGUUUGAUGCACUGUCUAACUACGCUGAUAAAACAUUGUUAGCAGUGAGUGGCUGCUAAUGAUCUCAGAUCUCAGUCACUAUACUGAGUAUCUUUGCUCUCUGUGUGACCUGUGUUGAUCCAGUCUUUAUAGCAGGACUUUGCCUUGGUACUCCAGCAGACUUCCCCUCUACAGGUACUACAGUAUGUCUGUGUUGGGCUCAUGUUUUCUAGUGUUGUCUAUCUUUCACCAGCUCUGCUGGGACCUUAGUGGUUUGGAGGCCAUGAGUGCUCAGUGCAGUGGGGUCUCCAUCCUGUUUGGUGUACAUGUAAAGCCCAGGACAAGACUACAGGGCUGCUGGUGUGUGCUGUCCGGAUGUGGCCAUGGUGACUGUACACCCACUUUAGGGAAGCCAUGUUUCCUGGACACUUUUCUUUUUGUGCCAUCUCUGACCCCUACUCCCUUCUAGGCUUCGUCCUGUGCAGCAGGAAGUGAUGUCACAUGCAUCCUGACCUUUUAACCGUCAGAGGAUGGGUGUCGUCAUCAUAUCCCUGCUCUGCUCUCCCCCUCCCAUCACGGCAAACUGGACUACCAGAGAGAGACCUGGCAGCCUUCAGCCUGCCAACCACAAAUCUCUGUUUAACUCCUGACCUCCAUCUCACAUGCCUUCAUCAAGCUUAAAUCUGAUGCAUUUUUAAGCCCCUUCUUAUCAGCAAAUCAUUUUGAGGGGGAAAACAGCAACAACAAAAGUAUUUGUAGAUCAUUAUAAAUUGUAUUUGCUGUAGCCUACAGUAGGGUACAUUCAUUAAAUGUACUGUAUAAAUGUAUUUCCUUCAGGCCCAGCUCUGUGAAAAUCAGCUUAAAAGCUCACCACAGGCAGCCGUUAAAUGUGAUCAAUGACCAGGGUAGGUAUCCACCCCACGGCCAUAUCCGCUCUCUCACGUGAUAAACUGGUUCUCUAUGUCAGGUUUCAGUGGCUGUCUAGGCUUACAGAUCCCUUAUGGACUCAUUGAUUUAUUCUACUGUAUGUUACGGUGUCUGUUGAAUAUUCAAGCUGGUUCCUGUGUUAUAAAACAGCUAUGCCGUCAAUGACGAUGUAACCUGCCGUUGAAAAUAUCCGACUCCCCUGACCUGUUUCUGUUUUUGGCUCAUGGUUACCUACGCACAUGUGGGAUUCAAAUUAUCUGUUGAAAUGGGGAACAGGCCAGAUUACUGUGAUAGAUCAAACCAAAGGCCAUUAAUAGUAUAUAUUUC
Oncorhynchus tshawytscha (Chinook salmon) is the source of this 1685-nucleotide long non-coding RNA. NCBI's taxonomy places the organism in Eukaryota, Metazoa, Chordata, Actinopteri, Salmoniformes, Salmonidae. The record is from Ensembl.